Molecule: ribosomal RNA, 496 nt
Filed under: uncultured bacterium
Lineage: Bacteria
Description: bacterial SSU rRNA
Rfam family: Bacterial small subunit ribosomal RNA
Source: RNAcentral
AUGAACGCUAGGCGGCAGGCUUAAUACAUGCAAGUUGAGGGGCAGCAUGAUAUACGCGAGUAUAUUGAUGGCGACCGGCGGACGGGUGAGUAAUAGGUAGGAGACCUACCUCAUACGAGGGGGAUAGCAUAGAGAAAUCUGUGGUAAUACCCCAUGAGGUUAUAUGAAUAGAGGCAUAUAAUCAAAGCAUAAGCGAUUAUGCGGUAUGAGAGGGGCCUACUGACCAUUAGCUAGUUGGUGAGGUAAGGGCUCACCAAGGCGAAGAUGGUUAGGGGUUUUGAGAGAGAGACCCCCCACAUUGGAACUGAGAGACGGUCCAGACUCCUACGGGAGGCAGCAGUAGGGAAUAUUGGGCAAUGGGCGAAAGCCUGACCCAGCCAUGCCGCGUGAAGGAAGACGGCCUUAUGGGUUGUAAACUUCUUUACUACGCGAAUAGAGGUUAGUACGAGAUACUAAUAGGAAGGUAGUGUAGUAAAAAGCACCGGCUAACUCCGUG